Molecule: long non-coding RNA, 694 nt
Organism: Mastomys coucha (southern multimammate mouse)
Lineage: Eukaryota; Metazoa; Chordata; Mammalia; Rodentia; Muridae
Exons: 2
Source: RefSeq, a predicted model, not a curated record
GCUGCCCCGCGCAUCCUCCCAGCCGCAUCCGGCCCGCGCAUCCUCCGCUCACCGGUCCGUCAGUCCCGAGCCUCAGCGGGGGUCCAGCUCGCAUUCCUUGCGGACCGGAGUGAAACCGAGGACGUGGGAGCCGUUCGUUGCUCGCUUCUGGGAGGCCAAAGGACGGGGAGGAGACGUGCGGGCAGCGCGUCACGCCCUCUGAGCGCCUGGCAGGGUCAGAGCCAAGUACACGGCGCUGCCCAGCCGAUCUUUGCAGUUUGCCCACGCUCGAGUUUGGGAGCCAAGGUAGAUUUGAGCCAGAAUUCGCCUAGGAAAACCGGGGGCUGCUUCAAUGACUGUCUGUUAAGCACCUAUUACGUGCGGUUCAGCAAGUGCGACUUCACCAUCCCACCUCGCAAAGGUGUGAGCCCCAGGGCACUGACUCCUUGGGAAAGCUGCUCAUUUUGAUCCUGAUUCUAUUGCCUCAGAUCAAAGUUUUCACCGUAUUCAGACAGCGGUGAUUUAGCACCUUUUCAGGGGAAGGAGCUUUCAAAUGCCCAGUCCGCUCCUGGGUUUCUUGUUACCACUUUCUUCGGGGCCUCUUUGUGUCUGGGAAAGAAACCUCUACCUACCUCAUUGGAAUGCUCACUCUAUUUUGUGAAAUGAACUAUGGCCCAAUUUUAUAAUCAGAAGAUAAAGCCAAUUAAAACUCUCA